CAGUAGCACGGUAAUACGAAGGGGGCUAGCGUUGCUCGGAAUGACUGGGCGUAAAGGGCGCGUAGGCGGCGAUCAAAGUCAGGCGUGAAAUUCCUGGGCUCAACCUGGGGGCUGCGCUUGAUACUUGGUUGCUUGAGUGGGGAAGAGGGUCGUGGAAUUCCCAGUGUAGAGGUGAAAUUCGUAGAUAUUGGGAAGAACACCGGUGGCGAAGGCGGCAACCUGGUCCUUGACUGACGCUGAGGCGCGAAAGCGUGGGGAGCAAACAGGAUUAGAUACCCGGGUAGUCCCUGUCUCUUAUACA
RNAcentral lists this ribosomal RNA (301 nucleotides) under uncultured bacterium. RNAcentral's name for it is "partial 16S ribosomal RNA". It matches the Rfam family "Bacterial small subunit ribosomal RNA", at positions 509 to 808 of the family's 1533-position model. The record is from RNAcentral.